This 514-nucleotide long non-coding RNA is filed under the name Sarcophilus harrisii (Tasmanian devil). RNAcentral's name for it is "lncRNA (ENSSHAG00000021801.1)". Lineage: Eukaryota; Metazoa; Chordata; Mammalia; Dasyuromorphia; Dasyuridae. The record is from RNAcentral.
CUUGGUUCCUGGCUAUCUGAGACUUUGUUCAACCUGAUGGAGAAACUGGCAUCCAGAGAAGUGAUGUGUUUUGCCACGUCAAGCUCUCUUCCCUCUUCAUCCCAACUUCUUGGCUUCUCUGCCUUUUUUCAUGUGUCAGCAAAAAUCCCACCUUCUUCAAGAGGACUUUUCCAGACCUUCAUUUCAGUACUAAAGAAAAAAAAGUAGCAGCUAAUAAAUAGAUUGAAACUCUUCAAAGACUAUUUAAAGGGAGAAAAAUCACUACUGUUGGCCAAGAACAAGUUCUGAAAUAGGUAUUGAGGACCUGGAAGAGAAAUCAAUUUGGUGAUACAUUUGUACCAGAACACAGUUAAAGGGAAGCCUUUUUCCAGUGUGAAAUAAGCAAACCGAGAAGAAAGACCUAUCCAAGCAGAAAGUGAAUUAAGAUCCUAUUCCAAGUGGCUCACCUCCUUUCUUCAUUUUCCCUAACAAAGUAAAAAAAAAAAGGGCAAUCAAUAUUUGCUAUGAAUUCCUG